UACAGAGACUGCAAGCGUUAUUCGGAUUCACUGGGCGUAAAGGGUGCGCAGGCGGCCAAGUGUGUUAGGCGUGAAAGCCCGGGGCUUAACCCCGGAAUUGCACCUAAAACUACAUGGCUAGAGCAUUGGAGAGGGUAGCGGAAUUCACGGUGUAGCAGUGAAAUGCGUAGAUAUCGUGAGGAACACCAGAGGCGAAGGCGGCUACCUGGACCACGACUGACGCUGAGGAGCGAAAGCCAGGGGAGCAAACGGG
Molecule: ribosomal RNA, 253 nt
Filed under: uncultured bacterium
Lineage: Bacteria
Description: partial 16S ribosomal RNA
Rfam family: Bacterial small subunit ribosomal RNA
Source: RNAcentral